Molecule: long non-coding RNA, 1123 nt
Organism: Leguminivora glycinivorella
Lineage: Eukaryota; Metazoa; Arthropoda; Insecta; Lepidoptera; Tortricidae
Exons: 2
Source: RefSeq, a predicted model, not a curated record
CCGAGUUGUGCUUGUCUUAUUACUUUCAGAUUAAGAACUGAGUUUCCAUUGCAUAUAUACACGCCGGAUUAAGAACCGAGUUGUGUUGCCUUUACAUGAUGUUAAUAAUAUAUUCUGUUCACAGGGUUUCCUGAUAAGCACAUUGUACCUGAAUCUUGUGGUAUCCAUGGUAGUGUAAUUAAUGUGAUAUCCACAAAUGAAGUGAUUUCCGUCACUUAAAGUAGGUCGCUGGUGAAAUUACGGUUUCCAAUAGAGCGGAGAGAGCAACUGUUCGGAAUGCCUAGCUGAACGAAUGCAUGCUACAGGCUGCGCGACAACCUUGUCAUGAAGGGCCAACUUCUGCGGUCGUUGCGCUGACAGCCACGAAAGAAGCCGUAUCACCGUGGCUUUCGUAUGAAGAUUUGAUAUGGUAAUGUGUGUUGUCUUAUAGCAAAAUUGGUGGCUAGUACACAUUGAUUAUUACCAUUUAUUAAUUUUAUCAUGUUGAUAGAAAAAAAAAAAAUAAUCAGCGGUUGUUAAAGGUCCUGCCAAGGAACAGCCAUGUAUUCUGCUUAAUAUAUAUUCAAAAAAAAAAAAAAAAUACAUGACAAUAUUUUGUAAUGUCUUGAUUGUCAUUGUUUAUUACUAAAUUAUUUAACGGCUAUGUAAGCCGGAUCUGUAAUUGAGAGCACCUACUAUGCCAAUUGUAAAUUAAUUUCUCGUAACCUUAUCAUGUUACUUGAACGACAGUUGUGUUGUACUGAUUCUAUCACCUACUGGCUUAGUUCCAAGAAAAAUUAUCACGUUCUCGUUACAUUAAGGAACUUAGUAUUUCCCAUGUAUGUUACAGAGCUUCUUAACAAGAGCUUGUGCUGUGUUGGAAGGUGGCUAUGAUCACGCAUAGGGUGUGUCAUGUUAACCUCUCACGAGUUGUACGCCUUCUUGCGCAUGUGGGGAGCUUCACAGCCUACAGUGACGAAGCCAACUGUGAGUUUGUUCCAUGUAUUUGCUAUUUAAACGACGCCAAUCAUCAUUAUUAUAUUGAGCGGUUGGUUAGUUUGGAAUGCACCGCUCACGUAAGUCUUAACUUAAGGCAUAAAUGGCAUAAUACUUGCCUGAAAAUAAAUGAAAUGUAUUGAUGGGU